GGGCCCGCACAAGCAGUGGAUUAUGUGGUUUAAUUCGAAGCAACGCGAAGAACCUUACCAGGUCUUGACAUCUCCUGCAUAGCCUAGAGAUAGGUGAAGUCCUUCGGGACAGGAUGACAGGUGGUGCAUGGUUGUCGUCAGCUCGUGUCGUGAGAUGUUGGGUUAAGUCCCGCAACGAGCGCAACCCUUGCCAUUAGUUGCUACGCGAGAGCACUCUAAUGGGACCGCUACCGACAAGGUGGAGGAAGGUGGGGAUGACGUCAAAUCAUCAUGCCCCUUAUGACCUGGGCUACACACGUAAUACAAUGGCCAUCAACAGAGGGUCGCAAUACCGCGAGGUGGAGCCAAUCCCUAAAAAUGGUCUCAGUUCGGAUCGCAGGCUGCAACCCGCCUGCGUGAAGCUGGAAUUGCUAGUAAUCGCGGAUCAGCAUGCCGCGGUGAAUACGUUCCCGGGCCUU
This 458-nucleotide ribosomal RNA is filed under the name uncultured bacterium. RNAcentral's name for it is "bacterial SSU rRNA". It matches the Rfam family "Bacterial small subunit ribosomal RNA", at positions 917 to 1382 of the family's 1533-position model. The record is from RNAcentral.